RNAcentral lists this ribosomal RNA (119 nucleotides) under Pteropus alecto (black flying fox). Lineage: Eukaryota; Metazoa; Chordata; Mammalia; Chiroptera; Pteropodidae. The record is from RNAcentral.
GUCUAUGGCCAUGCCACCCUGAACAAGCCCGAUCCUGUCUGAUCUCAGAAGCUAAGCAGGGUCGGGCCUGGUUAGUACUUGAAUGGGAGACCACCUAGGAAGACCAGGUGCCAUAGGCA